Molecule: ribosomal RNA, 288 nt
Filed under: uncultured bacterium
Lineage: Bacteria
Description: partial 16S ribosomal RNA
Rfam family: Bacterial small subunit ribosomal RNA
Source: RNAcentral
GUGGAUUAGAUACCCUGGUAGUCCUGGCAGUAAACGGUGUGCGCUUGGUGUGAGGGGAUUCGACCCCCCUUGUGCCGGAGCUAACGCGUUAAGCGCACCGCCUGGGAAGUACGGCCGCAAGGCUAAAACUCAAAGAAAUUGACGGGGACCCGCACAAGCGGUGGAGUAUGUGGCUUAAUUCGAUGCAACGCGAAGAACCUUACCAAGGCUUGACAUGCAUCUCUAAGCGCGUGAAAGCGCGUGACUCUUCGGAGGAUUUGCACAGGUGCUGCAUGGUUGUCGCCAGCU